CCUACGGGAGGCAGCAGUGAGGAAUAUUGGUCAAUGGACGAGAGUCUGAACCAGCCAAGUAGCGUGAAGGAUGACUGCCCUAUGGGUUGUAAACUUCUUUUAUAUGGGAAUAAAAUGUUCCACGUGUGGGAUUUUGUAUGUACCAUAUGAAUAAGGAUCGGCUAACUCCGUGCCAGCAGCCGCGGUAAUACGGAGGAUCCGAGCGUUAUCCGGAUUUAUUGGGUUUAAAGGGAGCGUAGGUGGCUUGUUAAGUCAGUUGUGAAAGUUUGCGGCUCAACCGUAAAAUUGCAGUUGAAACUGGCAGUCUUGAGUACAGGAGAGGUGGGCGGAAUUCGUGGUGUAGCGGUGAAAUGCUUAGAUAUCACGAAGAACUCCGAUUGCGAAGGCAGUUCACUGGACUGCAACUGACACUGAGGCUCGAAAGUGUGGGUAUCAAACAGGAUUAGAUACCCUAGUAGUC
RNAcentral lists this ribosomal RNA (460 nucleotides) under uncultured bacterium. Its description in RNAcentral is "partial 16S ribosomal RNA". It matches the Rfam family "Bacterial small subunit ribosomal RNA", at positions 338 to 795 of the family's 1533-position model. The record is from RNAcentral.